Molecule: ribosomal RNA, 484 nt
Filed under: uncultured bacterium
Lineage: Bacteria
Description: partial 16S ribosomal RNA
Rfam family: Bacterial small subunit ribosomal RNA
Source: RNAcentral
AUUGAACGCUGGCGGCAGGCCUAACACAUGCAAGUCGAGCGGAUGAAGGGAGCUUGCUCCUGGAUUCAGCGGCGGACGGGUGAGUAAUGCCUAGGAAUCUGCCUGGUAGUGGGGGAUAACGUCCGGAAACGGGCGCUAAUACCGCAUACGUCCUGAGGGAGAAAGUGGGGGUUCUUCGGACCUCACGCUAUCAGAUGAGCCUAGGUCGGAUUAGCUAGUUGGUGGGGUAAAGGCCUACCAAGGCGACGAUCCGUAACUGGUCUGAGAGGAUGAUCAGUCACACUGGAACUGAGACACGGUCCAGACUCCUACGGGAGGCAGCAGUGGGGAAUAUUGGACAAUGGGCGAAAGCCUGAUCCAGCCACGCCGCGUGUGUGAAGAAGGUCUUCGGAUUGUAAAGCACUUUAAGUUGGGAGGAAGGGCAGUAAGUUAAUAGCUUGCUGUUUUGACGUUACCAACAGAAUAAGCACCGGCUAACUUCGUG